GGCUGUCGUCAGCUCGUGUCGUGAGAUGUCGGUUAAGUCCGCUAACGAGCGCAACCCUCGUCGUAUGUUAUAUGUGUCAUACGAGACUGCCGGUAAAAAGCCGGAGGAAGGUGAGGAUGAUGUCAAGUCAGCAUGACCUUUAUAUCCAGGGCUACACACACGCUACAAUGGUCUGUACAAUGGGUAGCCAAGCCGCGAGGCGGAGCCAAUCCUGAAAGCAGGCCUCAGUUCAGAUUGCAGUCUGCAACUCGACUGCAUGAAGCCGGAGUUGCUAGUAACCGCAGGUCAGCAAUACUGCGGUGAAUACGUUCCCGGGUCUU
RNAcentral lists this ribosomal RNA (320 nucleotides) under uncultured Anaerolineaceae bacterium. RNAcentral's name for it is "bacterial SSU rRNA". It matches the Rfam family "Bacterial small subunit ribosomal RNA", at positions 1047 to 1382 of the family's 1533-position model. Lineage: Bacteria; Bacillati; Chloroflexota; Anaerolineae; Anaerolineales; Anaerolineaceae. The record is from RNAcentral.